GUUCCAGGAGCCCACACAGUCGGCCUAGCACGCUGCACAAACUUCCGGGAUCACAUCUACAACGACACAAACAUUGAUGCUGGCUUCGCCAGGAGCCGCCAGACAGGCUGCCCUCGCGCUACCAGCUCAGGGGACAACAACCUGGCGCCGCUAGACCUCCAGACCCCGACUGUCUUCGAGAACGACUACUACAAAAACCUCGUUCAGAAGAGGGGCCUCCUGCACUCAGACCAGGAGCUCUUCAACGGUGGUGGUGCCGACGCGCUAGUCCGGGAGUAUGUCGGUAGCCAGAGCGCCUUCUUCAAGGACUUUGUGGAGGGAAUGAUUAAGAUGGGGGACAUCACGCCGCUGACGGGAUCCAACGGGCAGAUCAGGAUGAACUGCAGGAGGAUCAACUAAUUAUAAGAUUGUUCUCCACAUUUCGCAGCAACAAUCCGAUGUUGUUACCAUGCUUGAAUUCAUGAUGAUUUGCCCCUUUUCACUUAAACUCCUUUGUUUCCUAUUCUUUUAAGGAUAAAAGGUUAAAAUAUAUUACAAUACUGCCCUUUUGUGUCAUGUUCAUGGAAGAACUGAAUAUGGAUGCACUGACGAAAGAACAAAGAGCAAAGUGAGAUAUGGAAAAUCAACAAUUUCAAUGUAUGGAGUGGCAAAUACUGAAAUUAUUAAGUAAAGAGGGGCUAAAGAUCAAAUCCCACAUGCUUGGAACUCAAGUUAUGAUCAACUCUGGUAAAGUCCCCACCACACACUACCGACAAAGAACCCAUGGUUCCCUCCCUCCGCCCGCCACUUAUAAAGAUAUCACUUGGAAAAUAAAAACACUUGGCACAAAUCAUGUAGAACAUGACACCAACAAAUAAAGUAUGAUAUGCAACAGAGUUUAAGCAUGAUAUCGCACAAAGAACAGAGUUUACAAGACAUACACGAGAUUAUAAGUAAAGACGCAAGUCUUAUAACACAGACCACACGUUUUGUCAUCCAUUGGCAUCAAAGACAUCAAAAUGUGAGAAAAGUUAACUGCACAGUCCACUGAACUAUGCACUGGCAGAAGAAGGGGACCUCUCUUCAUCUUAUGACCUCCAGUAACUUCUCAGUCUUCAUGUGCUACAUAGGCAGUUGGGAAUGUCCAUUUAUCUUCCAUAUUUAAAUAUCUAGCUUUCACUAACACAUUUCUCUUAACAUGCAAGCAUGUCAUCUCAGCAAGCAACAUGCAUGAGAAAAUGCCCACCUCAACAUACAAUCAUGCAUAGGAGAAAACUCAACUCAACAUGCAAACAUGCAUUAAUUUUUAUUUCAUUAGGUUAUUUAUAUUUAAUAAAUAUUUUAACUAUACAAUAAUCAUUAGAAAAUAUAUUUAUUUUUAGUUAUAGUUCUCAUAUUAUUACUGUAAUCAUGCAUAGGAAAAGGUCCAUAUCAACAUGCAAACAUGCAUGACAAUUCCAUUCUAUUAUGCUAUUUAUAUUUUACAAAUAUGUUACAACUAUACAACAAUCAAACACAAUCAAAUAUUACUCCAAAUAUAAUGUUUCAUACAAUCAAAUAUCAUUGAAUUAUAUUGCAAAAUAUUUCCACAACAACGUGCGAGGUUAUCUAGUUUUAAGAAAUAGAAAGGAGCUCAAUUGCUAAAAGUGACUAAUUCAUUCCCAGUCUGCUAAGAAAGUUACGCAUCAACCAAAUUGGAACUCAGGUUAUGACCAAUCUGAUACUUUGUACCCGAAUAUGUGUUUCUCAAUGCGGAUCCCCAAAUCUAUAGAAGAUUUAACUCGCCAAAUUUGACUUGUGAAAAAGCUAAUUCGUAUAGUAAAUAAAAACAGAGAUAUUAUAUUUAUCUUCCAUGCAGAUAAUAUUAGUCAUCGGCCUAGAUCUUGUAGAGCUUAGACUCUAGAGUUGAAGUCAACUUUAUUUCUCCCAACUAACUGCCUGUUUGUCUUAUUAAUUGUCUCCUUUGACACGGCCAUGCCCCACAUGCUACUAGCAAGCUACGUGUACAAUCAAGUAAAUAAAACAGACUUAUGCAUUGUCACAAACAAUAAGUCACAAAUUCUCCCCACAUGCAUUUAGUAUAUACACAGUGUUUGUGGACAUGAUUUUGUUUUUUCAAGCACAAAUAGUAUGUGUACAUGCAGCUCCGGAGCAACCGAGAAAUUGUUAGGUGGACAAGAACACAACACAAAAUAUUACCCUCAAUCGUCAAGUCUUGCAAGAUAAUUGUUGAUGUGGAGAACAGGGACAAAGCCAGGAUUUUACAUUGAGGAGGGCAAGUAAGAUUGGCUUGGUAUUAUGAGUCUAAUCAGGGUUCUGGAAGUGGUAAAAUAUCAUGAACAUGGUGUUCUAAUGAGUGGUGACAACAACACAAAAAAUGAGUAGUAAUAUGAAGGAAAUUUGAAUGUUGGGCAUGGCUUAGUCCCUACUCGUCCCCGAAGUGCCCCCGUCCCUGGUGGACAGAAUGAGAGAGACAAUGAGAGCCGGAACUUACGAGUAAUAUAAUCUAAAGAGUCGAGACACCCAACCUACUCUAUGAGUUAGUUUGUUCGUUUGACUCAAGAUGAUAGUAGACCAACAGUCAACGAUCGAUUCUAACGUUAUGAUGUUCAAGAUGGUUUUUUUUAUUUUUAGGGUGUGUUUGGUUUGAGGAAUACCACGGAUGAUUUGGGGUUAUCCUUGUUUUUUGGCUCAUAGGGUUGUUUGGUGAACACUUGUCACGCAUAGACUCAACAGUUUUGUUUCAAAAAAGGAAAAGAGAUAGACUCAUUUUUUUUAAAUGCACAUCACUUCAUUAAGAGAGAAAGAUAAUUUGAUUACAAGAGGGUUGCAUAAGAGUUCUACAGACCCUAACGGCACAACACCACAUCCACAUAUACAAAAUGAACAUGCUGACUACUCCCUAUCACCCACACUUCUAAGGAAGAAGAGAUAGAAGGUCGGUAUGUGUGAAAACUGCCCCUGCCUCGUCCACACAGGCAACACAGGAGGCGAUCGUGUUCCAAGUUUUAUGGUCCUCCCCAUCCGACCUUCCUCCCUGCGUCGCUACCAGAUGUUGCCGUCGGGCAAAGCCUAAGCAGCCAAUGGUGGUGGCGGGCCCGUAGGUGGUUCCAUGACUGUCAUCAAUCCUUGGCAGCGACUCAUAGAAAACAAUAGUACUCCCUCUGUUCACUUAUAUAAGACGUUUUAGUAAAUUCAGACAGUGUACUAAACAGUUCAAACUCAGCUGUCUGAAACGCCUUAUAAAAACGAACGGAGGGAGUAGUGAAAAAUAGCACCGGCAAGGAAACGAUCUGGGAGCAACAUCAAUGCUCGGCAUAGGUCCUACAAAUCACGCAUUAGUGGCAAGAAGCGCAUUGGCAUGGAAACGAUCCGGGAUCACCGGUAGCGGUGCGUUGCACUUAGUUGUGGUUGUAUGUAUCGCGCGUCAACAACAUCAAGGAACCUUUUGUUUUGUGCUCAUGGAGUAGUUGUGGCUAAGCGGGUCCCGGAGGCAGUACGCAGUCAUGGCUUGUUGGUGGCCACCGGUUGCGGGCGGCAUGACAAUCCGGAAGGCGGUGGUCGCGCCACUGCAAUGGUUGGCGGUAGACGGUCCCCACAUCCAGCCCAUGGGUUGCUCCUCUUAUGUGUUGUCAUAGUGGUAAGGUUUGGUCUCAUUGGCAAUGUGCAUAGCCAUGGUGGAUGGCAGGUGUGGCCUCUCGACUGUCGUCAUUGCCCUCCUCCACCCAGCCGUCCGGUGCGACUCCAAGUUUCUCGACGCUGGAUCUUGGCGGUAUGACAACAUCCAGCGACAAGAUAGAGCGGCAGGUCUAGACAACUGCCAUCUACAUCCCCAUGAAGCAAUCUUCCACUCAGUAACGCAUGUGUUAUGUGGUCUUGGGUUGCUAGCAAGGGUGGCGACACGUGGUAGUGUUGUCUCCUACAUAUCUACCAUCAACUAUCACUAGCGAGAUCGAUCCAACAUUGGCAAGUCAUCCUAAACUGGGAUUUUGGCGGUGCCGAUGACCUUCCGCGCUCACAAAUGAUUUCUUUGAUCCCACUGAGGACCGUGCAUGCAUGUAACUGCUCAGAUUGUGGAAAGUGGAGGGGUCAACGCAAGAUGACUUUGAUUUGGUGGUACUUCUCGAGUACCCGGUCUCGAGCUCUGGGGUGAAAACCCUAGGUCUGAUCCUAGUUGGUCAUACCUGGCAAUGGCAGUGUUUGACGUCAUUGCCUUCUUGUAGGCAUGGUUUGAAGUUUGCUCAGACUUGAUCUUCAGGGUUAAAACCCAUGAUCUGUCCUUCAGGUUAGAUUCCACGACAGCGGAGCUUGAGCAGCAUUGCUACUGAAGAACCUUUCUCGUCGUCCUUGAUGUCAAGAGACCAUAGAUGAUGUGGAUGGUCAUUUCACUAGUAUCAUUUUUUGAUCGCUUGAGAGUUUUCUUUCCUUUAUCUUCAUCUGCCUAGGCAUAGCUUCAGUCUUCGAUGUGUGUGUGUGUGCGCGCGCGCGCGCGUGAAUUGAUGUUGAUUAUGUGCAUUAUAGUCAUGCAGAAGUUGGAUGUGUACUCAUUGUGUUUAUCCUUUUAAUAUUUUAUUUUAAAUCUAUGAAGCCCACCCUUUAUUAUUGACAAAAAUCAUAUACACAGUUCUGCUGGCCGACUCAAUCAAUUCAUGUAGAGUCAUCACAACACAAUGUGUUUCUUAUCCCUUCAACAAAACCAAGGUCAUCCCACUCAGUCAAACAAGGAAUUUGUUUGUUCCAUCUAUAAAAAAUAGUAGAUCACUGGAUGGCCGCCCUGACCUAUCAACCCCUUGCUCUGUGACCAAAACGGACCCUAGAUACAUUUCACAUCCUGAUUUAAUAAGAAAACGUUUACCAAGAUUAUCUUUUACUAGCGCCGUCAUCUGCUUAUUUUGACCGAAGCAACCGUUACCUGCUCCGAGGAGUAAGUUCUGUCUUCCACAAAAUAUAUCAUUACCUAGUUAGUACUCCCCCCGUUCCUAAAUAUAAGUCUUUGUAGAGAUUCCACUAUGGACUACAUACGAAGCAAAAUGAGUGGAUCUACACCGUAAAAUAUGUCUAUAUACAUCUGUAUGUAUUUUUUUUGAACUUAAAAGGUAGAGCAUUUUCUACCUUAUGUAUUCAAAACGGGCUGAGGAACCCGGAUGACCAAAGUCAUUUACAUGAAUGUGAUGUUAACGUCGUACAACAGAGUACAGCAGGCCGUCACCAAACCUAAGCAGAUACAGCAUUGAUAAGAAAGGGGAGUUAACUGGUAGCAAAAGCGUUUGCCCACACCAACAUAGCUUGCUUCGAGAGCUGUGGGGCACGCAGGCUCCAUAACUGGAUCAGCUCGGUGAGACGAUUGUAUACUUGCCGCUGUUGCCAAAAGCAUCUGUCGAAGACUCGAGCGUUCCUGGCGUCCCAAAGAGUAACCGCACACGCCGCGAAGAAGAUAUGCCAGAGCUUGCCAUGCCUUGCCCUUGGUUGGUCAGAGCACAAAAAGGAUUCAAGCUCCACCUUGGAAGUGGCCAACUCUUGCAAUCCUAAUUUGGACCAUAACGGUUGUGCAAGUUUGCAUCUCAGCAGAAUAUGGUUCAUUGUCUCUGCAGCUGGGCAAAGGUCACAACCGUUGUGUGAAGUAAUCUUAUCCCAGUGUUUCUUUACCAUGUUAUCCUUGGUGUUAUGCCUGUCACGGAGGGCAAGCCACAGGAAGAUACGAUACUUGUGCGGUAUGGUUCUGUCCCAGAUGAGGCUGGCUGGCGUGUACAGCGUACCUCGAAAAACUAGCAGCUUGUAGAAAUAGGCGGUGCUCAAGCUCCUGUCAGCAAGCAGAGGCAUUCUGGUAUCAACUGCAUUAUCUUGGGGCUGCACGUUGCUCAAAAUGGCAUGAAGGGAUUCUAACUCUUGUGCGGUCAUGAAAGAUAAAUUUUGAUGAAGCUGAAGGCUCCACUAACCAUCUUUGAACUGCGAAGCAACCGUGCAAAACUUGGCGAUAGAGAAACUAAAGAGCGUCGGGAAAACAGUCAUAAGCCGACCACAAUCCAACCAGUGAUCGUACCAGAAUGCAAUGUAUUGGCCGCUCCCGAGAAUGCAUCUGGAGGCUUCCAUAACCAGCUGCAUGGUAGCUCGAAAACCUUUCCACAUAGCUGUGUCUCGAUUGUGAGGUUUCCAGGACAAAUCCUUCUGACAAUAGGUCUGCGCAAACCAACUGUAACACGGGGUCUCCCCAUGCUGUAGUACUUUUGCCAUAAACUUGCAUAUCAAGGCUUUGUUGUGAGCUGCUAGGUUACGAACCCCCAGCCCUCCAUUCUCCUUUGGCAUCGUGACCACUUCCCAGGCUACCAGACACUGCCCCCCUUUGGCCGUAUUUUUGCCUUGCCAAAGAAAACCCCUCAAAAUUUGGUCUACUUUCUCCAAAGACUGACUUGGCCAUAAGAAGCAGCCCAUGUAGUAGCUAGGGAUCGCUGCGAGAACAACAUUGAUCAAGGUGAGACGCCCUCCCCAGGACAAGAAGGUUGCAAACCAACCAGACAAGCGCUUGUCCACCUUUUGAAUCACAGGUAUCAACAAACCAUGGUGUAUCUUGCCAAGAGAAAGAGGUAACCCCAGGUAGGUGCAAGGGAAGGCUGCAAUCUGGUAGUUGAGCACAGUAGCGAUAUCCUGGGAAGUUUGCUGAUCUAUACCAAUGGGAACAAAGGUACUCUUGUGAUAGUUUGUUUUGAGACCAGAGAAGUUGCUGAAGUCAUCUAGAAUCCGCUUGAUAACAGCCGCUUGUUGGGUGUCUCCUCUUAACAAGAUCAUCGUGUCAUCCGCGUAUUGCAGAAUUGGAAAAGGCCCGUCUGCUCCCAAGGGGUGCACAAGGUUCCCCUGCUGAUGCUCCCUUUUACAGAGCUGUUGGAGAACAUCCGCUACCAGAAUGAAAAGGUACGGGGACAGGGCGUCUCCCUGGCGUAGCCCACACUUGGAUAGGAUCUGCUCGCCUGGGCUUCCAUUGACAAUGAUUCUGGAGGAGCUAGUUGUAAGAAUAGCAUCCACCCACUUGAUCCAUCUCUCCCCGAAACCCCUUGCCGCGAGGAUUUUUUUCAGGGCCUCCCAGCUAACACUAUCAAAAGCUUUAGCAGAACCAUUGGGACUUUCCGCUUCCUUGCUUCUUGUACUAACUCGGCUGCCAACGCAAAGUUCUCAAUGAUACAACGCCCUCGUAGAAAGCCAGACUGGAGAGGGUGGAUGAGGUUGUGGAUCAGUCGCUGCAAACGCACGGUCAUCACCUUGGUGGCAAGCUUCGGUAUGCUAUGGACUAGAGAAAUGGGCCUGAAAUCCUUGAUGUCCGUUGGAUUUUCUUUUUUUGGAAUCAGCACAACGUUUGCAGUGUUGAUGCCAAGUAGGUUGCUGCCAUGCUCAUAAAACUCCUGAAAAAACCUCAACAGAUCCUCUCUCAACAGCCGUUGGAAGUUUUUGUAAAACUCAUUUGUGAAACCAUCCGGCCUCGGGCUUCUGUUGUUCGGUGCGUUGUUGACGGCUGUUGCAAUUUCAGCCCAGGAGAAAGGCACCUCCAAAGCAGAUAAGUCAGCUGGUUCGUAAAGGUGGGAGGGGUCCAGUACUGGUACUAAAGGUGAGCUUUCUCCAAAAAUAUGAGUGAAGAAAUCAGUUGCAAUCUGUAGCUUGUCCUGAUCACUGUAGAAUUCUGUGCCAUCCUUGACCAAGAGCUUGAUUUUGUUCUUGCGGUGUUGGCAGUUUGCCACCGCAUGGAAAAACCUGGUGUUCUCAUCCCCCAGGGUACAACCCCUUAUCUUUCCUCUUCUCCUCCAGAAACUGUUCUGCCAUAGGAUCAGCUGUUGAGCCUUCAAAUUGGCAUGCUUUCUGAGGGCAAUCUCCAUCCUCGAGAGGUCUUUUUUCCUCUACUGCGUCCAUGUAUUGGACAACAUGCUUGCAGCUUGCUAAGAUGUUCUGCAUUGGCGGUUUGGUGCGUUCCCAGGCUCUGAUUGCGGCCCUCAACCUUCUAAGCUUGAAAUUAAUCAAGGUUGAGACAGAGGCAAGAUCUCUGGUUCCCUUCUCCCAGCUGUGGCUGAUAAUGUCUCUGAGCUCCGGUACUUGCAGCCAGUGGUUUUCAAACCUGAAAAAAGGACUUUUAACAACUUCCUUUGAGAACUCUACACCAAUGAGCACAUGAUCCGAGGUCGUGGCAGGCAGAGCAGCAGCUGUAGUGUUGAGGAAGCCCAGGUUCCACUCGUAGUGGAAUCUCUCAAAAGACUUAUAUUUAGGAACAGAGAAAGUACAAAGUUAGGUCAUCUAUUUUGGAAUGGAUGGAGUAUGUAUAUGUGUUGAAAUAAUGCUCCUGAAAACAACAAGCACGUACGUACAACCAAAAGAAACGACACACAAUGAUCGAUAGUCAACAGACAAAUUGUUGCAGCGAGCUAACCCAGAUGUUGUCGUUGAAGUUUCAUAAUGGCAAGUUUGUGGUCAGAGAAGUGCAGCUGCUGCCUCAGCAUUUUGGUAGUACUUUGAUGAGAGCAGAGUUUCUACUGGAUGGGAGUUGGAACUCUGUUGCGAAAGCUGGUCUUCGACAGUGGACCCGUUCUGCUACAUAUGCACGACUAGUGGUCUGAUGAUGUACUCCAUGGCUUUUCUCGAGGGGGCAUGCGCAUGUGCAGCAUUUUGGUGUGCCAAACCUCCGGCGAUUGCGGUGCGGUCGGAUCCAAAAGUCGCUAUUUGCAUCUAGCUACCGGCAUUGAAUUUCUUUUGACUAGAGUCUGGAGUACUUCGAAAGUUCUAACCCGUAAAGCACCAGAACAGAACAACCAGCAUCUACUAAGAAAUAGAGUUAAUAAAUGGUACAACUAUGAACACGAAACACUAAAAUCAAAAGGUUAAGGCUCAACUAAUUAACUAAGUGGGUGUAUGAUUGGUGCCCAAAAGGUAUUAUACUCCACUUUGACUAAACAUAAUACUGUCAGGCGCAGGAGCAGUACUAGGAAUUAGACUUCUCCUACUUCUUCAGUAAAAAGUGAAGAAGGUAACGACAACAUCCGAUGCCCUGAAUGUGGCGGUCAGGUGAUCACCUGGAUUGCUCAGGGCAGUGACAACGCCGGCGGCCGCUUUUACAAGUGCGCCAGGAAAGAUGUAAGAUAUUUCUCUAGUCUGAUCUAGAUUCAUAUUUCAGCGGUCUCGUACUCAGUAGACCCAGAUCUGCAUUUGUUGGUGUUGGAAGGUCUUCGUGGAUACAUCAGAUCGAACCGGACGUACAGCGUUCAAAAUUACCCAGCUCCCUCUCCUCGUCGUCAGGCAUUACAUAUCCGCAACAGGGUUCAGUCGCAGCAGGCAGCGGACCAGGUCACUGUUGUGCUCGGCAACGCUCACAGUGCCCCGUUGCAGAUGCAGAAUAAUCACCCGGCGCCGGCGAUGUGUGCCUGCCAAUCACUCUCGCUGCUGCUCAGAGAUGCCAAACCGAACCAACUCUGCUCAAAUUUAAAUUUUGAAGCAAACAGAGGCAAAGUUUGUACACGUAGCCGUAAACAUGUACUCCAGCUUGACAUGUGUUCACAAAUUCAGGAUGCAUGACAUGUUUUUACUUUUUACAAAGAUUUAGAAUGCAAUCGUACAUCUCUGAAACAAAUUCAGAAGGCAUGACAUGUGUUCACAAAAAUUCAGUAAUGAAGGCACGUUCCCCGUCAUGGAAAUUCCAGAAUGCAUGGACAAACUGUAAAAAAAAAAAAUCAGAAGUACAGACACGAUCAUACUGCUCACAGUUUCAGAAUGCAUCACCACAUUGUAAAAAACUUCAGAAAUCAACAAUUACUUGGUGCGAGCACUCGUACUCCAACAUCGAGACUAGUUUAAACAUACAUUAUUCUUGUUCGGCUGUUCCAUUUGUUUAUUUAUUUAUUUAUUUAUUUUGCCAUCCAUAAACUCAGCAACCAUGAAACAAGAAGCACUUCUACUGACGGAACUACCUAAGUUCUACAGAUUUCAGUUCUACAGUUUUACAGUCUCAACCGAUAGGUUCCAGCCAUUGUUCACAUGCCAGUCAACCGCAGAUCACCCAUUUUGUGGCAGUUGUUUUGCCCAUGACCUUCAAUUCCACAAUUUUUGCACCUUGCCGGUUUGUGAACAGGUUUCGGGGUAUCACCUCGCUCCGGACAUGUUGUCCUCUUGUGCCCCUGCCCGCGACAUAUGGUGCAGAACCGCGUUCGUUUGCUCAGCUCCUCGUACGGAGCCUUCUCUCUGCUAGCUGUUGGUCGUCCUAUUUCUUUCCGCUUCUUUGGCGCCAACAGUCCAUUGGGUCUGUUCCCACUUGUGUCUUAUUUCAUAAAGUUGGGUCAUGUAGUCAUGCAUCUUUAAAUUAUAUUUGUCAACCAAUGUCUCUGAAGAAUGUGUGCUGCAACCUACUUCUCCCAUUUGCCCACAUAAGAGUGGUUAUCCGACCAUCUUUGCCUGCCUGGACUCGGUAAGUGAAAUGCGAAUCUCUUGAAGCCGGAUCUGCGAAAACCUCCAUAGUUUUCCUAACAUCAUCCUCUGCCUGCUCUCUGCUGAUUUUACCACACAAAUUCUUGAGAGCUCUUUUUGUGAAAGGUACCUUUUCCAUUGAGCCAAAAAAAACUCCCAAUGAUGUUGUGUACUUUUGCCACGUUCACAUUGUUCUAUAGCAAAUGCUCCACCAAGUCUCUGUUGUUGGCAUCAAUAUGCUGAGCCAGUGUAUUGUCUGACCAUACGUUGGAGACAAUGAAUGAUUGAGAUGUUCAGAUGCUCCCCUAUGUACCAUCCAUUGUCCUUCGAUCGGAGGAGUCUUGUUAAUGUAGGACACUCGCACCGACACGAUCUAGUGUUCUCCACCCCAGCUUUACCCUGCAAAAACCAAAGUGUACGCAACACAAACGUCUUAGGUUUCAUCAGCAGCAAAGAAAGCAGAUCGGAUUAAUAGACAUUAGUACAGGAAGGGUUCAUAUGCAUACCGCACAUCCACAAACAAUUUCUCUCCACAUUCAGUCUACUGUUCCCACCUUAUUCCUAAACCCUUCUCCCACGAGUAGAGAUUGUAGAAAUCAUAUGCCUCCCCGAGGGUAUCGAAGCUUGUACCAAGUGCUGGAACAAUUACAAUGUUCCCAGGUUGAUCAGCGCACCCCGUGUUGCCUUUUCAAGGGCGCUUGUUCGCCCAGGGCAAGGUGCCCUUCCUGGGGCAUCGGCUCCAAUUCUAACCCUGCAUUUUUGAUAAAUCCAUGUGUGACUGCAUGUUUUUCAUCCUAAUUCAAAAAACUUGACCCUUUUUAUGAUUACAUUCAUAUGUUUCAACAUUCUCAAUGACAAUUACUUUUGCUUCUUCAGGUGUCCUCUUCCCUGUUAUUAUAUCUCAAUUCCAUCAGUAAAUCAGAAGCUUCAAAACUGAACUUUUUUUAUUCUUAUCAGCUCAUAUUGGAACCAAUUUUCGACAUAACUAAUCAACGCUAUCAACCUUUUUUUUUGAAUCCACGUCGUGCUUCCAGCUACUGCAAUGGUUAUCUAUUUUGCAUGGCUUAGCACCCUAUAUGCAACUCAGUUAAUCCAAAAUUCAGACAUUGCAAGUUGGACAAACACUGCACAAGCAGAAUGACUAAUUCGAUCAGAAUCAAGUUAGUAAAAUCUAUGUUUCAGCCCAAUUUUCCAUCUAUUCCCUGGCUUCAUAAUCCAGUGCACAUGAAACAUCCUGCCAUUAGGAUGCUUUCUUCUUUUAUCAAAUGGUUCUGCUAGUAUGUGAACCACUCGAAAGCACGGCAGUACACCAUCUUUUCAAAAAAUAUGUAAAUGUACAUUCCAAUUUAUCCAGGAACAACCUACUAGAAAAUCUGAAUCUAAAUUGCCCUGCACAAAUGUGCAGCCUAUAUGCAAGUCAGGUCAUGUCAUUUGCAAUGCACCUAAAAUCAGUCAAACAGCCUGUACCGCAAGCACCAUUGUUCAGAUAAAUUACCUGCAAGUCCAGCCUGGUGUUUUCGGAUCAAUCUGUGCAAUAGAUUGCUCAGAUUCUUGCGGUUCAGCAUCCCCCUCGCCUGCGACUCCCAUGGUCAGAGAAUACCAUAUGCUACUGCGUAGUUCCAACGGGUAGACGUCUGUAUGUCCUCCAAACGAUCCCCCUCGCCCCCGGCCAGACGUCUGUAUGUCCUCCAAACUUGAAAAAACUAUUAGACUAGUCACAACGGGUAGUAACUUAGACUAGUAACAUGUAUGUGUUACUAGUAACAUGCAUGUGUUAUUAGUCUAUGUCACUACCUUUAUAGGGGAGAGUAACAUAUGUAUGACACCAUGCAACAUUUUAUUUAUUAGAUUGUAGAUUCAUCUUGUCAUGGUAUAUAUGAUGUUACAGUAACUAGCUAUAUUAUCACAUGUCUCUUUUUUCUCAUAUAAUUACUCGUCACAUCAUUUGUUUUGCCUAGAGACAUGUGAUGUUACCAUAUAUAUUGCUCCCACUGUGGAUAGCCUUAUGAGAAAAAUCAUCAGGCAGGGGAAGGUAGGAUAGUCGAAUCAUCAUCUCGUUCAUGAUCAUGUACCGGUAGGCAGUAGGUACAUACCGAUCGAGACUAGGCUAACCAUGAAAUUUGUUGGGUAGGAAAACGGUGAUGCAAAAAUUAAUUAAGAAAAUCAUCACCGUGCUAAUGUACUCUUCCUUUGCCAAAGUGUCGCCUUAAAGUCCAUGCGAGUGUUACAUUAGCACGUUGAUGAUUUUCUUGAUUAAAUUUGACCCAGAGAACUAUGUAGAUUAGUACUGUAGCUAGCAAACACCGUCCGUAGCACAGGAAAGCAACAUGAGGAGACGGAGUCACGGAGCCAUGCUCUCACAUGAAUGCAAGCAUAAUUAACAUGGCUCUUUGCUUAGCCGUGUCGAUGGUGUGUCGGCAUGCAGCUUUUUCUACUACCUCCGUCUCGGUGAAUAAGUCAUUCGCGUAGUUCUAGGUUGACGAUUUAACUAUCUAAAUAUGUAUUCUUUGUGACAAAAAACAUAUGUUUAGAAAUUACAUCCUUGUAGAAAUCUAGUGAUAUACUUUUCAUGACAUAUAACACAUAUUUAAUUUUUCAAAUCGAUGACCUAAAACUACGUGAAUGACUUAUUCACCUAGACGGAGGUAGUACCAAAACUGUUCAUUUUUCACGAGCUACGUAACAGAGAGCACAGUGUCGGCAUUGAAUUUCUUUUGACUAGAAUCUGGAGUACUUCGAAAGUUCUAACCCGUAAAGCACCAGAACAGAACAGCAAGCAUCUACUAAGAAAUAGAGUUAAUAAACGGUACAACUGUGAACACGGAACACUCAAAUCAAAAGGUUAAGGCUCAAGCUAAUUAACUAAGUGGGUGUAUGAUUGGUGCCUAAAAGGUAUUAUGCUCCACUUUGACAAACAUAAUACUGUUAGGCGCAGAGUAGUACUAGGAAUAAGACCUCUCCUUUCAGUAAAAAGUGAAGGUAAGAGCAUCUCCACUAGAGCCCCCACGAUGCCCCCAUUUUGGGCGCUGGCAGUAAAAUAUCCUCCCACUCGUGUCCCAAAGCCUCACUUUUCGUCGGAUUUAGAAAAAAUUGACGCCGGCAGUCCCACCCCAAACCCAGCCCCCUCGGGAGCAGCUGGGCGUGUCGGCGAUGCCUUUUUCUUGCGGUUGGCCCACCAUCGGCCUCCCACAACCUCUCUCCUCUCUUUUCUUCUCUCCUCUCCCCUGCCCCUCUCUCUCGAGCGCGGAGUGCGUCAGCGCGAGGCGGAGCGGCGCUGGAGGAGUCCGGCGUCCAGCUCGGGCGCGCGUGUUCGGCGUCCGGCGUGCUCGAGGCGAAGGCCAGCCCCGAAUCCCUCUCCAGCGCCUCGUAGUCAUCCGGGAAGGCAGCCGGCAAGCCAGCGGCAGGGCAAGCUCGGGCGAGGACGAGCGGGGCCGCGUGCGAGGCAACGCGGCGUGGGGGCGGGUAGCGGGAGGUGCGGGGAUCUGGCGACGAAGGACCGGGGCGUAGCCGGCCGGCCCGGGAUGAGGCGGGCGCGUCGGCGGAGCCGCCUGCCGACCACGGAGCAGCAGCCGGCUCGGGAGCAGGGCCGGACGCGGGCGCAAGCGGAGCGAGACGGGGUGGCUGGGUGUCGGGGGCUCGGGCGGAGGCCGGGCCAGUGCAAAGACGGCCGAGGCGUGGGCAGAGCCGGCCGGCGCAGGAGCGGAGGCCGACCGGGGGGGAGGGGGGCAGACCUGCGCGGAUGCUGGCGCGGGACGAAGCGACCACAACGAAGCGGGCGCGCCGAUGCCGAGGCCGAAGAUACAGGGCGCGCGAUGAAGAAGCGAAGCGAGCGGUCGGAGAAUGCUCGAGGUGACGGGCCGACGCGAAGGGCCGUCGUCCGGCUGUCGGACGGCAGCAUUCACGUGGACGCCACCGGUGUGGCUGGCCGUUUGUGCUCAAACGAGCCAUGCUAGCUAGCUAGCAAGCGCGCACUCAGCCGAAUCGAUUGGCUCUCCUCUGCUAGCUAGCUAGCUGGGUACGAGUACUUGUAUGCAUAGGGACGGAGGUGGCCAGCGAACCCUCGUGUGGAGGAGUGAGCUCGGCGGCGAGGCCGGGCUAGCCGUGGCCUAGGGCGGGCGCGGCCUGGGCACGGCUUGGGGGUGAACACGGCUGGAAACAUUUUCACCCCCAGGCCAAAUUGCCGGCAGCCCCACAAACGGCGAAAGAAAUGCCUCCUUAGAGGCUCAACGGCUGGAGAUGCUCUAAGUGGUGGUGCCUGAGGCAAGUGACCGGCAUAUGUUCUGUCAUCUUUUUAGUUUUGUCAUGAUGGUCUUUACUUGACUUGUACUUUAAUUUUUUAUGAUAUUUUUUUAAAUGCGUCAAAAAGAUCUUUAUGAUAUAAACGAGACACAUAUUAUACCAUAUAAUGCCAAAAAAGGGUAAGAGUAAUAUGCGGUACUACACUGUCAGCGGAUAGAUCUUUUUCACAUUAGGACCUACUCUACGUACAGGGCCAUGCUAUAGAAUUUGCUAAUGCACGUACGUAUAUGCUACCUUGAGGAGAUAAUUCAGGUUGAAUUGUCCAUGCUAAGAUAUAGAUAUAUAAAUGUUUUGACCAUGACCGCCAUGCAUCAUACGUGCCUCCAGUUUCUUUCUCUCUCUCUUUCUUUUCUUUUCUUUUUUGCGAAAUGUGCCUCCAUGGGCCAAGUAGUACCGCCGGUGACCCUUCAACAAAGUCGAACACUACGACUGGGUGGGCCGAGCUGGGAGGUGAAGAUGGGGCGGAGGGACUCGACGACGGCGAGCUUCAACGGCGCCGAGAACAACAUCCCUCCCCCGACAUCAGGGCUCGCGAACCUUACGUCCCUCUUCGCGGCGCAGGGGCUCUCCCAGAAAGACAUGGUCGGACUCUCAGGUAGUAUAAUUUUCCAGUUUGCACUCUAAACCAACAUAAUUUGUCAUGGCCAAGUAUACCUCGGUUCUAGUUUAUUGGUCUUCAUAGUAUUUUGUGUCAAAUUUUGAUUAUGAAUUUAACUAACAAAAUGUUAAUGCAUGUGAUAAAAUAUUAUACUGUUGGAUUCGUAUUUGAACAUACUUUUUAAUGAUACAAUUUUUUGUCAUGUACAUUGACAUUUUGUUAGUUAAAUCUGUGGUCAAAAUUUAACAUUAAAUAUGAAGGAGACCAAUAAACCAAGACGGAGGUAGUAAUAUUUUCCUUCAAUUUGCUGAAGAAGCAAGUUAUAACUUUCUAGCAGUAGAACAGCUGGUAUCAACCAACGGAACUGAUAGCCACGUUUUGACUUCAAAGCUCAGAAUUCUACAUAAGACAAUUUCUCUGGAUUAAACAAAUAUACUACUUUACAGGUGAUGAGCUAGAAAGCUGAUCGAUGACUACUUACCACUGACCUAACCUUUGGUCUGUCCGCUUAAUUUGUAAGACUGGACAACGUCAAAAAACAUUGUUCCUUGAUCACUUAAACACGUAGUGCUAGUUAGGAAAGUUGGCGAAUGAUUCCUACCGAUCAAUGGAUUGACAAAAGAGUAGCUGCAAAACAGGUAAUAACUUGAGCUGACGGUAUAACUUGUGUUUCAGGAGCCCACACAAUCGGCCUAGCACGCUGCACAAACUUCCGGGACCACAUCUACAAUGACACAAACAUCGACGCCGGCUUCGCCAAGAGUCGCCAGUCAGGCUGCCCUCGCGCCACCGGCUCCGGCGACAACAACUUGGCGCCGCUAGACAUGCAAACCCCGACCGUCUUCGAGAACGACUACUACAAGAACCUUGUCCAGAAGAGAGGCCUACUGCACUUGGACCAGGAGCUCUUCAAUGGCGGUGCUACCGACGCGCUGGUCCGGGUUACGUCGGUAGCCAGAGCGCCUUCUUCAAGGACUUUGUGGAGGGAAUGAUCAAGAUGGCAUUGGCGCCUUCGUCUUCAGUCGGCGCGGUCAGGGCGGCGACCCUGGUGUGCGGCAGCAGCUGUUUCCCCCAUGGCCGGUGGUUUGAGUCGUUGGCUUGCCUGGCCGGGUGUUGGGUGGCGGCGGUUGUUGCGGAUCUGGCGUCCCGGCCAGAUACGUCGUGGUUCAGCUAUGGCCGGCCGGCGACGCGUGGGGGCCGGGGUGAGGCGGCCGGAGGUCCUCAACCGGCUUUCCGAGGACACCAUACGUCUACAUGGCGAGGGUGUGCUCGGAUCCAGUCAGCAGUGAGAUUGUGGUAGCGCUACUUCCGAUGAAAAUCACGCCGACUUCGGUCAUGGCGGACGAUGACGGCGUCUCCGACGCCUUGAGUCAUCAUCGUUGCAAACUACUCAACAUGAUCGGGAUGUUUCGGGGGAAACCCUAGAUCUUGGUCUACCGGAUCGGACGACGACAGCGCCUUCGAUGGCGUGCUCCCUCCUGAGGGCAUCGUUUUGGAACAGGAGCUGGCUGGAGGGGACGAGAAGGAGCGGUGUUUCAUCUACUGCAAGGCCAACGACGUAUCCCGAUGGCAUGGCGCUGCGGAGUUUCGGCGACGGGCGUAUGUGGAUGGACUCGCGCAGGAGGACGACAUUGUCUGGCGUCGUGAUGGCGUCGAUGGCAGAGAGACCUGGCAUGGUAGAUGCAACAGUGCAGCUCUGAAGAUGGAUUGGUGGCAGGUGGUUGCGGCGGCCUCAUACCCGGCAGGCAUCCUGGUUGAGGAGUGCGCCGGACUGGUGGCUACCCCAUACCCGACAGGCGUACUGGUUGGGACCUCAGGUCUUAGAUGUUAGGUUUGGCUACGAGGUCUGUUUGGUAUUAGGCCUAGACUAUCAGCAUCCCUACAUAUCAACUGGAUAGGAGUAGCGACAGAUGUUGCCUAGACAAUGACUUUAGUCUUACUGUUGUUUGACUUUGUAAGGUCUUAUGUGAAUAAUUAAUAAAGUGGCUGCAUGCAUCGUCCAGAUGCAGAGGCCGGGGGUCCUCCUCCAUUUCUAAAAAAAAAAUGCCGCUGACAGGAUCCAAUGGAUAGAUUAGAAUGAACUGCAGGAGGAUGAACUAAGAUUCUCCUCCCCUUUCCACACCAACAAUUCCGGUGUUCUUCCCAUGCUUGAAUUCAUGAUAAUUUUCCCUUUUUCACUUAAACUCAUGUGUUUCCUUUUCUUUUAAGGAUAAAAGGUUAAAAGAUAUUAUAAGACUGCCCCUUUGUGCCAUGUUCACGGAAGAACUGGACAUGGAUGCACUUGCAAAAGAACAAAGUGCAAAGUGAGAUGUGGCAAAUCAAUUUAUAUUUUCAAUGUAUGCAGUGGCAAAUCCUGAAAUUGUCAAGUAAAGAGGGGCUAAAGAUCAAAUGCCACAGUCUUUACCUUCUCGAGGAGUUGAUAAAGUCCCCCAAAUACUACUGACGAUGAGCCCAUAGGUCCCUCCGCCCUCUGCUCGAGACUUAUAAUGAUAUCACUAGGAAAAUAAGAACACAUGGCGCAGAUCAUGCAGAACAUGACACCAACAAAAACAAGUAUGAUAGAUGACAUCACACAAAAGAAAGAGCUUACAAGACAUACAUGAGAAUAUAAAUGAUAUAUAAAUAAAGGCGCACACACACAAUACACACUACUCAGUCCACUAAGCUAUGCACUGGCUGAAGGAGCAGAACUCUCUUCAUCCUAUGGCCCCAGCAGUAACUUCCGAGCCUUCAUUUACAUAGGCAGCUGGGCAUGUCCAUUUAUCUUCUAUAUUUAAUAUCUAACUUUCACUAACCUAUUUUUCUUAGCACGCAAGCAUGGCAUCUCAGUAAGCAACAUGCAUGGGGAAAUGUCCAUCUCAACAUUACAAUCAUGUAUAGGGGAAAGCUCACCUCAACAUGCAAACAUGCAUUUUUUCAUUAUGCUAUUUAUAUUUAAUAAAUAUUUUGGAACUAUACAAUAAUCAUAAAAGUAUGUAUUUUUAGUUUUAGUCCUCAUAUUAUUAUUGAAUCAUGCAUAGGAAAAGGUACAUCUCAACAUGCAAACAUGCAUGCCAAUUCCAUUUCAUUAUGCUGCUUAUAUUUUAUAAAUAUGUUACAACUAUACAAUAACCAAACAAAAUAGAAUAUAUGUAUUUUAGUUCUGGUUCUCAUACUAUUACUCCCAAUAUUUAUGUUUCAUACAAUCAAAUAUCAUUGAAAAAUAUGCAAAAUAUUCCCACAACAACAUGCAAGGUAUCAUAUACUUUUAAGAAGUGGACAGGAGCUCAAUUGACAGAGUGACUAAUUCGUUCCAAAUCUUUUAAGAAAGUUACGCAUCAACUGAAUUGGAACUCAGGUUAUGAUCAUAUGAUACACUGUACCAGCAUAGUGUCUCUCAAUGCGAAUCCCCAAAUAUAUAGAAGAUUUACUUUUGAAAAUUAGCACCAGAUAAGACUACUAUAGUUUCUCUCCUUUUUUUAAGGAGUUGGGUCCAUUAUAAAGGUUCAAUAGAAGUACAAAGCACCCGAAAUUCUAAGAUUAACACUGAGGCCCCUGGACCACUAAACAACCUCUGUCACCCCAAGAACUAGUCGCGGAAGUGUCAUUGUUGCCCUGGGAAUUCCGAUGACAGUGGGAAAGUCUUUGUGCACGUGCCCCUAAGGAUGAACGCUCCAGAGUUGCAAUCGUUGCCAGUGAACCCAUGAGUUGAUCGGAAGCGUCUAAGACCAAAUCCCACCUUCUUGCACACAAAAUGGGAAACCUUAAGGAGAAGAUGGUAUUCUAUGGUAGAGCUCUGUCGACUCCGUCCCUACAGAUGAACUCGGGUGGAUCGGAGCACGGAAGACCAACUCAAAGAUGAAGUGUCACCAUCUGCUAUACGGUCGCCGCUACGAUGAACUUUAAAAAAAAGGCUAACAACACUACUAGUGUGACUGAGGUACAAGGACUCUCCUCCUCACCGCCAACCACCGGAGCGGCGAACAGAGGGGAGGAGAGUCCACAGGCUCGCCAACAAAGACAAGAGGAAGUGAAGCUUCCCCGAAGUUGCCGUCAUGGGAGUGAAAGGAAUAGAUCGGUUUAGUUAACAUAUACGUAAUUUAUCCAAUUGUUGACUAAUCACUCUAGAUUAGUCUAUUUUCUACUAGACAAAUAUAAUCAUCAUGUUCUGACUAAUCAUGUUCAUGUUCUGACUUGUUCCUUUUAGAUCAAUGGAGUGCACAUUCCGACCUAUUGAUCUUACAAACUAUCAUGAUGUGCAUCCCGUAAACGCUCAACUUUAACCAUGGUCUCAAAAUCAUAAAUCUAGUUAUACUCUCUAAUAUAAUACUUCCUAUGUUUUUAUUUACUCUGCAUAUUAACUUUCACCUAAGUCAAAGUUUAUCCAAACUUACACAAAACCAUAUAAACUUUCACAAUAACAAAUGUAUAUGAUGUGAAAAUAUAUUCAAUGAUGAUUCUAAUGGUAUUGGUUUGGUAUUAUCGAUGUUAAGAAAUUUUUGAACUUCGUCAAAAUUUAUGAAAUUGGACUUGACAAAAAGCUAAUAUGUAUGGUAAAUAAAAACAGAGAGAUUACACCACUCCUAGAUCUUGUAGAGCUUAGACUCUAGAGUUGAAGUCAAACUUUAUUUCUCCCAACUAACUGCUCGUUUGUCUUAGUAAUUGUCUCCUUUGACACAACCAAGCCCCACAUGCUACUAGCAAACUAGGUGUACAAUCAAGUAAAUAAAACAGGUUAAUGCAUUGCCACAAAUUCUCCCAACACGCAUUUACUACAUACACGGUGUUGGUGGACGUGAUUUUUUCAAGCACAAAUAGUAUGUGUACAUGCAGUUGUGGAGCAAGAAAGAAACUGUUGGGUGGACUAUAACAGAGCCCACAAAUAUUGCCCUCAAUUGUCGAGUCUUGCUAGUUAAGAUAAUUGUUGAUGUGGAGAGCAGGGACAUAGCAGGAUUUAACAUUGNNNNNNNNNNNNNNNNNNNNNNNNNNNNNNNNNNNNNNNNNNNNNNNNNNNNNNNNNNNNNNNNNNNNNNNNNNNNNNNNNNNNNNNNNNNNNNNNNNNNNNNNNNNNNNNNNNNNNNNNNNNNNNNNNNNNNNNNNNNNNNNNNNNNNNNNNNNNNNNNNNNNNNNNNNNNNNNNNNNNNNNNNNNNNNNNNNNNNNNNNNNNNNNNNNNNNNNNNNNNNNNNNNNNNNNNNNNNNNNNNNNNNNNNNNNNNNNNNNNNNNNNNNNNNNNNNNNNNNNNNNNNNNNNNNNNNNNNNNNNNNNNNNNNNNNNNNNNNNNNNNNNNNNNNNNNNNNNNNNNNNNNNNNNNNNNNNNNNNNNNNNNNNNNNNNNNNNNNNNNNNNNNNNNNNNNNNNNNNNNNNNNNNNNNNNNNNNNNNNNNNNNNNNNNNNNNNNNNNNNNAUGAUCUAAAGAGUUGAGACACCCAACCUACUCUAUGACUUCAUUUGUUGGUUCGGCUCAAGAUGAUAGUGGACGAGCAGUCCACAACCAAUUAUAUCAUUAUGUAUGUUCAAGAUGGUUUUUUCAUUUUUAGGGUGUGUUUGGUUGAAGGAAUACCACAGAUAGUUUGGGGUUAUCCUUGUUUUUUCGGCUCAUCAGGUUGUUUGGUGCACACUUGUCACACAUAGACUCAACAAUUUUAUUAAAAAAGAAAAGAGAUAGUCUUUUUAUGGAUCUCAUUAAGAGAGAAAGAUAAUUUGAUUACAAGAGAGUUACAACGACGGCACCAACACCACAUCCACCUAAAUGAACAUGAUGACUACUCCCUAUCACCCACAAUUCUAAGGAAGAAGAGGAUACAAGGUCGGUUUGUGUGAAAAUUGCCCCUGCAUCGUCCGGAGGAGUGACAUACGAGCCGAUCACGGUCCAAGUUUUAUGGUCUUCGCUGACUGAUCUUCCUCUUCUCGACACUACCAGAUGCUUCCGCCGGGCAAAUCCUAAGCAACCCAUGGUGGCAAUGGGCCCCGGGGUGGUUCCACUGCAUUCAUCCUCGGCGACGACUCGAAGAGAACAAUAGUAUAGCGACAAGAAUAGCAGUGGCAUGGCAAUGUUUCGGGAGCAGCGUUAGCGGCACGUUGCGCUUAGCAUCGGUCAUACAAAUCAUGCAACAACUGCAAGAAGCGCAGCGACAUGGGGAUGAUCUGGGAUCACUGGUAGCGACGUGUUGCACUCAGUUGUGAUUUACAAAUUGGGCGGCAGUAACAACAAGGCACCUGGCUAUGUGUGCUCAUGGUUUAGCUGUGGCUAAGCGUGUUCGAUAGGCAAUACACAGUCGCGACUUGUCCGUGGCCAUCGAUUUCGGGUGGCAUGACAGUCCGGAAGGCGGUGCUCACCCCAACAUGUGGCUUGCUAACUCCUCUUGUGCGCUGUCAUGAUGUCACAAUUCUGUCUCACUGAUAGUGUGUGUAGCCAUGGUGGGUGGCCGGCGUGGCCUCCCAGCAGUCAUCNNNNNNNNNNNNNNNNNNNNNNNNNNNNNNNNNNNNNNNNNNNNNNNNNNNNNNNNNNNNNNNNNNNNNNNNNNNNNNNNNNNNNNNNNNNNNNNNNNNNNNNNNNNNNNNNNNNNNNNNNNNNNNNNNNNNNNNNNNNNNNNNNNNNNNNNNNNNNNNNNNNNNNNNNNNNNNNNNNNNNNNNNNNNNNNNNNNNNNNNNNNNNNNNNNNNNNNNNNNNNNNNNNNNNNNNNNNNNNNNNNNNNNNNNNNNNNNNNNNNNNNNNNNNNNNNNNNNNNNNNNNNNNNNNNNNNNNNNNNNNNNNNNNNNNNNNNNNNNNNNNNNNNNNNNNNNNNNNNNNNNNNNNNNNNNNNNNNNNNNNNNNNNNNNNNNNNNNNNNNNNNNNNNNNNNNNNNNNNNNNNNNNNNNNNGAUCUUGGCAGUACGGCAACAUCCAGCGACAGGUCCAGACGACUGACAUUUACGUCCGGUGAGGUGGUGUUCUGCUCGGUAACGCGGGUGUCAUGUGGUCUUGGGUUUCUGGCAAGGGUGGCGACAUGUGGUGGUUUUGUAUCCUACAGAUCUACCAUUGGCUACAACUAGUGAGGUUGAUGCAGUGCUACCAAAUCAUCCUUAUUUGGUAUUUUGGCGGUGGCGAUGACCUUCCUUCCUCACUAGUGAUUUCUUCGCAUCUCACGUGAGGACUGUGCAUGCAUGUACUGCUGAUAUUGUGGAAAAUGAAAGCGACAACACAAGAUGACUUUGAUAUGGUGGUGCUUCUCGAGUACCCAGUCUCAAGUUCCGGGGUGAAAACCCUAGGUCUGACCCUAGUUGGCCAUACUUGGAAAUGGCGAUGUUUUGAUUUCGUUACCUUCUUGCGGGCAUGGCUUGGAGUUUGCUCGGACUUGAUCUUUGGUGUGAAAACUCAUGAUCCGGCAUUCGAUGGUGAGACCGGCGGCGGCCGCGCUUGAGGGGUGUUCCCUUUCAGAAGGUGUUGCUACCAAAGAACCUUUCUUGGUGUCCUUGUGAUGUCAAGAGAUGAUAAAUCAUGUGGAUAGUCGUUGCCCUAGUUCACCCAUCACUGUAUUGAUCACCUGAGAGUUUUCUUUUCAUUCGCCUAGUCAUGGUUGAAGUCUUGGAUGACUUUGCUCUUUGCCAGCAUGAUUCUUUGUGUGUAUGUGUGUGUGUGCACGUGCGGGUGCGCGCAUUGAUGUUGAUUGUGUGCAUUUUUUUGAAAACCCCUUCCAUAUAUAUAUUAAUUAACUUAAAAUAUUCAUACAAUCAUCCGUUACAAAUUCAGCCACGCAGGGCGGAACACUAUUAAGGAGCACACCAUCGGAUCUAUUAUCAAAGCUGAACUUCGCAAUCUCGUGCGCCACCCUAUUAGCCCUUCUGUUAAUCUUGGAUACCUUGCAAUUUAUCAUCAGUUUGGAUAAACUCAAUGCUUCUAUCUUUAGAUCCACCAGAGGAGACCUGUCUAGAAGAUCAUUUCCAAGAAAAGAAGCCACAAAAGAACAAUCCGUUACUAAAAUGAUGGGCUUGUGGAGAGUAAUACCAAUGUACAGCCCCGCAAGGGUCGCUCUCAGUUCCGCUUCAUCCGCACUAUUGCACACCCCAAUAAACGAUAUGAUAACUUCUCCAGUAUGGUUCCUGGCCACAACAGCCACACUUGCAGCCCUUAAAGCCUCCACAUAACUUGCAUCAACAUUAAUCUUAAUGAACUUCGUAGCGGGAACCUGCCAAGUCACAAGAUUCUUUUGCAUAUCAUUAGUAAAAUUUAAGCCAUCCACCCUUUCUUUACCUUUGAGGCUAAUCUCCAUCUUGACAUUGGGAUGACAGGACGAGAAGGACGUCCGGUAAUUUUGAAUGAACCUCACCGAGUCAGAGAUUUUUUUCCUUUCCCUUACCAAAAAUCAAAUCAUUCCUCAGAUGCCAUGCCCUCCAAAAUAUGAAUAUAAUUUGCUCACGCAUCGGUGGCCUUACUUGAUCCAAUAAGACAAGUAACCAAUCCGGCCCCAUAAAAUUGAAAAACACUUCAUCUGGUAAAUUCAUACCUCCCUUACCGCCAAACGUAACGCACGAGCCUUAGGACAGCUUACCAGUGCAUGAAAUACAGAUUCAUCUUCUACGCUUCAAAUCAAGCACAGACCAAUGAUAGUUUGGUGGUGUUUAACUCUGUUAACUUGAACCGCCAAACUGUGUGUCGCAGCAUGCCAUGCAAAAAUUCUGAUUUUCUGAGGGACCUGAGCCUUCCAAAUAAUAUUCCAUAGCCUCCUUUCUCCAUUAGGCCUUGUAUAAUGGGAGGUGCUUAGAGAAAUAAACCAGGCUUUUCUUAAGCCCCGGUGCUUAUUUGUACAAGAUAGACGCUUAACUAAGCGUCUCUCCUGUAGAAAUAGACACCGGUGCUUCAGAAAAAUCCGGUUUAUUUUUCUAAGCAUCUCUCUAAGCACCUUCCAUUAUACAAGGCCUUAGCAGCACCACUUGAACUCCCUAACUCAAUCAUAGAGUCCUUAAGUUUGAGCGCCAAUUUAUACGCACUUUUAACUGAGAACAAACUAUUUUUCUCAUAGUGCCAAGCAACACCAACAGUCAGACCACGCAACUUCAAAAUUUCAUCAACGUCAUGUGAAAAGAACAGAUGCCGAAUAAGAUUCUCAUCCCAUCCUGCUGAGCCACCAAUGAAUAACUCAGAGACACAUUUGAUUGUGUGCAUUUUAGUCAUGCAGAAGUUUGGUGCGUGCUUAUUGUGUUUGUAUCAUCUACACUGUUCUGUCGGCUGACUCGGUCACUUCAUGUAGAGUCAACCUAAUGUGUUUCUUAUCCCUUCAACAAAAAACUCACCCAGAGAAACAUUCGUCCCUUGCACCAAGCUCAUCCCACUCAGUCAAACAAGGAAUUUGUUUGGUCCAUCCAUAAAAAGUACUACCUCCGUCCGGGUUUAUUGGUCCCCAUUGUAUUUUGUGCUAAAUUUUGAUCAUAGAUUAAACUAACAAAAUGUUCACGCAUGUCACCAAACAUUAUAUUUUUGAAAACUAUGUUCAAAUACGAAUCCAAUAAGAUAAUUUUUCUUGACAUGCAUUAACAUUUUGUUAGUUAAAUCUUUAGUGAAAAUUUAGCACAAACUACAAAGGAAACCUAUAAACCAGGACGGAGAUAGUAGUAGAUCAUUGGAUGGCCGCCCCGACCUACCAACCCCUUGCUCUCUGACCAAAACGGACCCUAGAUACAUUUCACAUCCUGAUUUAAUAAGAAAACGUGUACCAAGAUUUAUAUUUUACUGGCGCUGUCAUCUGCUUAUUUUGAUCUUUAGCAGCAAUCAUUACCUGCUCCGCGGAGUAAGUUCCCUCUUCCACGGCAAAUAUAUCGUUACCUAGCUAUCAUAUAUGCGUUCAAAUAAUGCUCCUCAGAAACUACAAGCACGUACGUACAACCAAAACAAACAACACACAAUGAUCGAUACAUAGUCAACAGACAAAUUCUUUGAGCGAGCUAACCCAGAUGCUGUCGUUGAAUUUUCUCAACGAUAAGUUGUGGUCAGAGAAGUGCAGCUGCUGCCGCAGCAUUUUGAUACUCUACUCCUACCUGAUGAGCGGAGUGUUUCUACUGGAUGGGCGUCGGAAUUCUGUUGCGAAAGCUGGUCUUCGGUCGUGGACUCGUUCUGUUACAUAAGCACGAGUAGACAAUGUUAUAGGAUGCGUGUUGCUGCACGUACCUAGUACUGUAGUGGUAGUAGUCUCAUGAUGUACUCCAUGCCUUUUCUUGAGGGGACAUGCGCAUGUGCAGCAUUUUGGUCUGCCAAACCUCCGGCGAUUGCGGUGCGGUCGGAUCCAAAACUCGUUAUUUGCUUCGAGCAACCAGCAUUGAAAUUCUUUUGACUAGAGUCUAUCUAUCUACUCUCUGUCUCUGGAGUAGGAGUACUUCUAAAUCCGUAAGCAUAAAGCUCCAGAACCAACCAGGCAUCCAUAUGUGCAGACAGUAGCAUCUAAGAAUUAGGCAGCAUUAGAAAUCUUCUCUAUCGAUCGAUCCUUUUGAGUAAAUAGCAUAAAACUACUACUUUACAGGCUAGAAUUUCAAAAAACUAUCAGUUUUAAAUUUUUCUCAUAUAACUACCAAGUGGGUGGUCGGCUGUUUCAAAAAACCCAAAUUCCGCGUUGCUAACGUUUUAAACCGAUUUAUGACAGGUCGGACCCACUCCUAAACAAUCCGUUAGUUGACCGUUUUGUUUGACCGUUAACUUAUUGUGGGACCCACGUGUAAGAUGUCUCUUCUUCCUUCUACCAUUUCUUCUCUCCUUGUCUCUUUCUUUCCCGUCCCCUCCUCCCGGCAAUGGCCCGACCACGGCCACCCUCACCACGCCCCGCGCCCAGAGCAAGGGUCGGCCGCCGCGAGCCGCCCCCAGGGGCAAAGGCCGCCGCGCCCAGGAGCAAGGGCCGGUCGCGCGAGCCGCCCCCAGGAGCAAAGGCCGCCGCGAGCCGCCGCGCCCAGGGGCAAGGGCCGGCCGCCNNNNNNNNNNNNNNNNNNNNNNNNNNNNNNNNNNNNNNNNNNNNNNNNNNNNNNNNNNNNNNNNNNNNNNNNNNNNNNNNNNNNNNNNNNNNNNNNNNNNNNNNNNNNNNNNNNNNNNNNNNNNNNNNNNNNNNNNNNNNNNNNNNNNNNNNNNNNNNNNNNNNNNNNNNNNNNNNNNNNNNNNNNNNNNNNNNNNNNNNNNNNNNNNNNNNNNNNNNNNNNNNNNNNNNNNNNNNNNNNNNNNNNNNNNNNNNNNNNNNNNNNNNNNNNNNNNNNNNNNNNNNNNNNNNNNNNNNNNNNNNNNNNNNNNNNNNNNNNNNNNNNNNNNNNNNNNNNNNNNNNNNNNNNNNNNNNNNNNNNNNNNNNNNNNNNNNNNNNNNNNNNNNNNNNNNNNNNNNNNNNNNNNNNNNNNNNNNNNNNNNNNNNNNNNNNNNNNNNNNNNNNNNNNNNNNNNNNNNNNNNNNNNNNNNNNNNNNNNNNNNNNNNNNNNNNNNNNNNNNNNNNNNNNNNNNNNNNNNNNNNNNCGCCCAGGAGCACAGGCUGCCGCGCGCCGCGCCCAGGAGAAGCGGCAGCGGCGGGCAAGGAGCUCCGCCUGGACCCAGCCCGUCGAGCCGCCUCCUUCCGCCUGGCCUGCAACCUGGCUCCACGCGUCGCCCGGGACGGAAGGGAGCUCCACGGCGGUGCCAUGGCUGCUGGCCGGCGACCCUCACGCCGGCUGCUGGCGCACGGCCACGAGGAGGGACCCGAUUGCUUUUUUCAAAAGUUUGCAGGGACCCGAUUGCGUUUUGAAAAGUUUGCAGGGACCUGAUGGCAUUUUUGAAAAAUUUACAGACACUGACAUGUGGGACCACAUGUCAGUUAACGGUCAAAUAGACGGAUCGUUUAGGUGCGGCCCGACCUGUCAUAAACCUAUUUAAUUUUUUAACAACGAAGAUUUUGGGUUUUUUGAAACAGCCGACCCCUAACUUGGUAGUUAUCUGAGAAAAUUUAAAAACCGGUAGUUUUUUGAAAUCCUAGCCUGUAAAGUAGUAGCUUUAUGCUAUUUACUCGAUCCUUUUAGAUCAUCUUUCUUGAGUCCAUUAAUAAAAGGUACAACUGUGAACACGGAACACUCAAAUCAACAGAUUAAGGCUCAAGCUAAUUAACUAACUGGGUGUAUGAUUGGUGCAUGCUGUGUGAACUGGGCCCAAAAGGUAUUAUACUCCACUUUGACUAAACAGAUUACUGUUAGGCGCAGAGUAGUACUAGGAAUAACGAAUAUUCAUGUCUGAUCCCAGGCUCAUCUGUUCAUGGUGAACAAUAAAAUACUUCCUCCGUUUCUUUUUACUCCGCGUAUAAAAUUUGGUCGAAAUCAAACUACACAAAGUUUGACCAAAUUCACAUCAAAAAAUAUCAACAUCUAUAAUACUAAAAUUAUAUGGUAUGAAAAUACAUUUCAUGGUGCAUCUGAUAAUAAUGAUUUCAUAUUGUGAAUGAUGAUAUGUUUUAAUAUAAAGUUAGUCAAACUUUAUAAAGCUUGACUUUGAUCAAACCUUAUAUGCACACUAAAAAGAAACGGAGGGAAUACUAUACGAUCUGUGGAUAGAUAUAAUUCAAGUCUUUUUCACAUGUAUGCUAUAGAAGAGUCUUGCUAUGCACACAAGGAAACUUGGACAAUGCACAGACGAUGGAUUAAAUCUUGCCAAACACGCGUUGAUUCACAAGGGAGUCGGCCGCUGGAUUUACGUGUCGUGCAUAGAUCGGCCACUUGUAUCGUGCACGGAGCAAUUUCGGCUAUAGAAUUUGCUGAUGCACGUCCGUACGUAUUUAUAUGCUGCCUUGAGGAGAGAAUUCACUUCGAAUUGUCCAUGAUAGCUAUAGAUAGAUAUAUGAAUGUUUCGACCAUGACCAUGCAUCAUGCAUCAUGCAUGCCACCAGUUUCUAAGGAUGAGCAUGGAUUGGGCCAAAUAGUACCGCCGGAGACCGGGUCCGUCUGUAUGUCCUCGAAACUUGAAAAAAAAAUGAGAAAAUUCAGCAGGAUGGUCGGAUCAUCAUCUCGUUCACGAUCAUGUACCGGUAGGCAGUAGCUACAUACCGAUCGAGACGUGGACUAACCUUGACAUUUGUUGGGUAGUGAAACGGUGAUGCAAAAAUUAAUUAAGAAAACCAUAAGCGUGCUAAUGUACUCUUCCUGUGCCAAAGUGCUGCCCAAAGUCCAUGUAAGUGUUACAAAAAAUGCUCUAGAUUUGACUCACAAUAAACACACAGUCGGUAGCGGAAGGCAGUCGGUAGUUUUCAGUAGCACAGGAAAGCAACACGAGGAGCCGGAGUCAUGCAUGCAAGCAUGAUUGCCAUGAUUCUUUACUUAACCGUCUCGAUAGCACAGUGUCGGCAAGCAGCUUUUCCACACCAAAAACUGUUCAUUUUUCACGAGCUACGACGUUGCAUAUGCUCUACCAGCUACACGGCCGGAGCGAUGUAGCACCUGCAGGUGUGAAACGCGUCACUCCAAUGCGCGCGCCCGUUUGGAUCAACUCUCAAAGUCCACCGGAGUAGGUGAAGACGAUGAUGCAAUCUAAUAAUAUGUGAUGGCAGACUAGUAGCUAGUAUAAUCAUGGCCGGCGGCGUGAGCUAGCCUUUUCCCCCCAUAAAUACCGGCCGCCCGGCGUUCCUCCACCAUACGCGCCGAGAACAACAUCCCGCCCCCGACGUCGGGGCUCGCAAACCUUACGUCCCUCUUCGCCGCGCAGGGGCUCUCCCAGAAAGACAUGGUCGCCCUCUCAGGUACUAGAACGUACUACAUGCAAAUGCACGUAUGACGUACCCAUUAACCGCCAAUUAAACAACAAAAAAUAUUGUAUAUUAACCUAUUAUUUACUGAGAUUUUCAGAAAAUAAAUUUACAACAUACCAUCGAUCUAUUUCUACUCCAACUGACCAUUAAUGUACUGUUCCAGUCCUAAUAACCAACAUAUAAGUAGUGAUCACGUAAUUUUCUUUUCCUGAAUCAAGGUAAAAUUCUUUGACUACUUUCACUGACUAUUAAUUUAUCAAUGGAGUAGUUGGUAACUUUGGGAGCUGCAAAAGAGCUGGGAUCAACCAACGGAACUGAUAGCCACGUUUUGACUCGAAAACUAAAAACUAUACUACUGAUAAUAUACUUUACAGGUCAUGAAUUAGAAAGUUGGUGACAAAUUACCAUUGACCUGAACCUCUAGAAAUUAUUGCUCUGUAAGGCUACUAUAGACACAACAACAACAAAAAAAGUUGAUCUGCUCCGUGAUCACUUAAAAUACGUAGAAGCGCCAAUUACGGAAGUUGGUGAAUGAUUGUUAACAAUGGAAAGAAAAAGAGUAAUCAUUUAACGGUAACCUGACCCAUCACUUGUUCCAGGAGCCCACACGAUCGGCCAAGCACGCUGCACAUUCUUCCGGGACCACAUCUACAACGACACAAACAUCGACUCCGGCUUCGCCAGGAGCCGCCAGUCAGACUGCCCUCGCACCGCCGGCUCCGGCGACAACAACCUGGCGCCACUGGACCUGCAGACCCCGACCAUGUUCGAGAACGACUACUACAAGAACCUCGUCCAGAAGAGGGGCAUCCUGCACUCGGACCAGGAGCUCUUCAACGGCGGCGCCGCCGACGCGCUGGUCCGGCAGUACGUCGGCAGCCAGAGCGCCUUCUUCAAGGACUUCGUGGUGGGGAUGAUCAAGAUGGGGGACAUCACGCCGCUGACGGGGUCCAGCGGACAGAUCAGGAAGAACUGCAGGAGGAUCAACUAAGAAAAGAUCCUCCACUUUCUGCGCAGACAGUUGUGAAAUCCCUAGAAAUGCAGCACAAUCCGUAGCAAUCCAGGAUGUGUUUGGUCGCGCCCAUGCUUGCAAGCAGCUUGUGGUUUCCUCUCGUUCGACUCUGUUUAUGCAAUUGUGAAAUCAAUGUACGUUGUGCCUGGUGGGUUAAUAAAAGGUCUACCCCGUCUCUAUAGUCAGAAAUUAUUGGUGAAAACUGAAAAGCCUGCAGCACGACGACAUGAUAACCUAAUUUUUUGCAACUGAAGAACCAUAUAGGCCA
This 30266-nucleotide long non-coding RNA is filed under the name Triticum aestivum (bread wheat). Its description in RNAcentral is "long non-coding RNA (TAES_LNC002968)". The record is from RNAcentral. Lineage: Eukaryota; Viridiplantae; Streptophyta; Magnoliopsida; Poales; Poaceae.